UACGUAGGGCGCAAGCGUUGUCCGGAAUUAUUGGGCGUAAAGAGCUCGUAGGUGGCGUGUCGCGUCUGCCGUGAAAGUCCGGGGCUCAACUCCGGAUCUGCGGUGGGUACGGGCAGACUAGAGUGAUGUAGGGGAGACUGGAAUUCCUGGUGUAGCGGUGAAAUGCGCAGAUAUCAGGAGGAACACCGAUGGCGAAGGCAGGUCUCUGGGCAUUAACUGACGCUGAGGAGCGAAAGCAUGGGGAGCGAACAGG
This 253-nucleotide ribosomal RNA is filed under the name uncultured bacterium. Its description in RNAcentral is "partial 16S ribosomal RNA". It matches the Rfam family "Bacterial small subunit ribosomal RNA", at positions 524 to 776 of the family's 1533-position model. The record is from RNAcentral.